UACGGAGGGUGCAAGCGUUAUCCGGAUUUAUUGGGUUUAAAGGGUUCGUAGGCGGACCAUUAAGUCAGUGGUGAAAGCCCUCUGCUCAACAGAGGAAUUGCCAUUGAUACUGAUGGUCUUGAGUGUAAGUGAAGUUGGCGGAAUGUGUGGUGUAGCGGUGAAAUGCUUAGAUAUCACACAGAACACCGAUUGCGAAGGCAGCUGGCUAACUUACAACUGACGCUGAGGAACGAAAGUGUGGGGAUCAAACAGG
RNAcentral lists this ribosomal RNA (253 nucleotides) under uncultured bacterium. RNAcentral describes it as "partial 16S ribosomal RNA". It matches the Rfam family "Bacterial small subunit ribosomal RNA", at positions 524 to 776 of the family's 1533-position model. The record is from RNAcentral.